GGACGGAUGGCUGAGUCUGGUCGAAGGCACCGGUUUUGAAAACCGGCGUACUGUUAUGGUACCGGGGGUUCGAAUCCCUCUCCGUCCG
This 88-nucleotide transfer RNA is filed under the name bacterium. RNAcentral describes it as "tRNA-Ser". It matches the Rfam family "tRNA". From Rfam's summary of the family: Transfer RNA (tRNA) molecules are approximately 80 nucleotides in length. Their secondary structure includes four short double-helical elements and three loops (D, anti-codon, and T loops). The record is from RNAcentral.